GCUCGUGUAGCUCAGUUGGUUAGAGCGCGGGACUGUUAAUCUCGAGGUCCCUGGUUCAAACCCAGGCGUGAGCG
The sequence is a transfer RNA, 74 nucleotides long. It matches the Rfam family "tRNA". From Rfam's summary of the family: Transfer RNA (tRNA) molecules are approximately 80 nucleotides in length. Their secondary structure includes four short double-helical elements and three loops (D, anti-codon, and T loops). The record is from Rfam.